GAUGAACGCUGGCGGCGUGCCUAAUACAUGCAAGUCGAGCGAACAGACGAGGAGCUUGCUCCUCUGACGUUAGCGGCGGACGGGUGAGUAACACGUGGAUAACCUACCUAUAAGACUGGGAUAACUUCGGGAAACCGGAGCUAAUACCGGAUAAUAUAUUGAACCGCAUGGUUCAAUAGUGAAAGACGGUUUUGCUGUCACUAUAGAUGGAUCCGCGCCGCAUUAGCUAGUUGGUAAGGUAACGGCUUACCAAGGCAACGAUGCGUAGCCGACCUGAGAGGGUGAUCGGCCACACUGGAACUGAGACACGGUCCAGACUCCUACGGGAGGCAGCAGUAGGGAAUCUUCCGCAAUGGGCGAAAGCCUGACGGAGCAACGCCGCGUGAGUGAUGAAGGUCUUCGGAUCGUAAAACUCUGUUAUUAGGGAAGAAUAAAUGUGUAAGUAACUAUGCACGUCUUGACGGUACCUAAUCAGAAAGCCACGGCUAACUACGUG
Molecule: ribosomal RNA, 496 nt
Filed under: uncultured bacterium
Lineage: Bacteria
Description: partial 16S ribosomal RNA
Rfam family: Bacterial small subunit ribosomal RNA
Source: RNAcentral